AUACGGAGGGUGCAAGCGUUAUCCGGAAUCAUUGGGUUUAAAGGGUCCGUAGGCGGGCUAAUAAGUCAGGGGUGAAAUCCCACAGCUUAACUGUGGAACUGCCCUUGAUACUGUUGGUCUUGAGUUACGGUGAAGUGGUUAGAAUGUGUAGUGUAGCGGUGAAAUGCAUAGAGAUUACACAGAAUACCGAUUGCGAAGGCAGAUCACUAACUGUAUACUGACGCUAAUGGACGAAAGCGUGGGGAGCGAACAGGAUUAGAAACCCUAGUAGUCC
Molecule: ribosomal RNA, 274 nt
Filed under: uncultured bacterium
Lineage: Bacteria
Description: partial 16S ribosomal RNA
Rfam family: Bacterial small subunit ribosomal RNA
Source: RNAcentral